Molecule: long non-coding RNA, 272 nt
Organism: Dermacentor andersoni
Lineage: Eukaryota; Metazoa; Arthropoda; Arachnida; Ixodida; Ixodidae
Source: RefSeq, a predicted model, not a curated record
ACCGACAGCCGAUACGGAAAACGAUGGCGGCAACGGCGGCAACGACGAUGUUGAGCGUGCCAACAGCGAGAGCGAUGUGUGCACCUUCUCGCGCGUUGGAAAUCUUAGCUGUGGUGAAGCCGUGACCCCCUACAGUGUCCACAUAACCCGUGGCCAUGGCUGCAGCAGCACGGCGUGUAAUCUGGAUGGACAUGUCAGGGUACACGUGCAAUCUCUCCAAGACAACGAUCCUCCACCUCAAGAACAGCUUCUCCUCAAUGAUAAGUAGCGAG